This 364-nucleotide long non-coding RNA is filed under the name Carica papaya (papaya). RNAcentral describes it as "long non-coding RNA (CPAP_LNC006940)". Lineage: Eukaryota; Viridiplantae; Streptophyta; Magnoliopsida; Brassicales; Caricaceae. The record is from RNAcentral.
CCGGUCUGUCGGAGAAGAAGGAUUAGACGCCGGAGAAGGAAGCUGACCGCCGCUGCACCGGAGCCACCUUUAACCUCCAAAAAAGGUAAAAAUUAUCUUACCUGCUCGAUAUUCAAUUCCGAGCACCUCUGUGGCCAUACCGAAGCAAAACAAAUGGCGGAUGAGGUGAAAACUACGGGUAGAGCCCGGCGGGAUGGUCGCGGUCCAAAACUCGCAACCUCCUCCGAUGAACCCCUUCCCAGUUCUCAUUUAGUGCUAUUUUUCUACCAUUGUGUUCACCAUUCUGUUUUUUAUAGGUUGACCAAAGAAGGAAUCCCAGCAGCGAAGGAGAGCUGGCAGAGCCGCCGCACCCAAAAAUCCCACC